Molecule: transfer RNA, 72 nt
Filed under: Bos taurus (domestic cattle)
Lineage: Eukaryota; Metazoa; Chordata; Mammalia; Artiodactyla; Bovidae
Also listed under: 2 other names
Rfam family: tRNA
About the family: Transfer RNA (tRNA) molecules are approximately 80 nucleotides in length.
Source: Rfam by way of RNAcentral
UCCCUUGUGGCUUAGCUGGUAAAGAAUCUGCCUGCAAUGUGGAAGACCUGGGUUCAAUCCCUGUCUUGGGAA